This is a long non-coding RNA of Rosa rugosa (rugosa rose), 624 nucleotides long. RefSeq lists it as uncharacterized. The record is from RefSeq and is a predicted model, not a curated record. NCBI's taxonomy places the organism in Eukaryota, Viridiplantae, Streptophyta, Magnoliopsida, Rosales, Rosaceae. The transcript has 2 exons.
ACUGGAUACUUACUAGCAGGAUCUGCCAUUGGACCCAGUCACCCAGAGGCUUGAAUUUUGUCAGUGAAAUAGUCCAAGAGGCUUGUCUUUAUUCCUAUUUUGCUUGAUUGAUUCUUUCUUUGCGCUUCCCCUAUUGACUGUUUCUUCAGGAUUAUGUUUUCAGUUGUUCCAUUUGCAGAUUCAAAAUCAUGAAUACUCAUGUUAUACUAGAUUCAAAAUCACGAAUACUCAUGUUAUACUAGUUCGGUCUUUUGCCAUUCGGUAUAGGGCCUUGGAUUACAAGUUGUGAAAUAUUUGGCUGCCAAAUAUGAAGAGCUAGGGUGUGAAGUGAAAUGGAUGGGCAAGCCUGAUAAGGUGAUCUAGUCACAUUGGUCUGGUUACCGCUGUUAACUUCACUUCAUGUGAACCUUUAGCUUAAUACAUAUUUCUCUUGCACUUGACUACCAAGAUGAAUUUUGAGCAAGGCUAUUUUUUUGCUUUGAAGCAAAGCUUGGUGUAGAAAUUUUGUAGAUUGUUGCUCAUAUGUUUCUAGGAUAUCCUUUGUAGGUUUUGGGGUUUUCUUUUGUGACAUAUGUUCAAUCAUGAAUUUGGAAAGAAAAUUAAUGGAAAGCCCUAAUUUUUGGA